AGUUGCGAAGGCGGCUCUCUGGACUGUAACUGACGCUGAGGCACGAAAGCGUGGGGAGCAAACAGGAUUAGAUACCCUGGUAGUCCACGCUGUAAACGAUGAGUACUAGGUGUCGGGGGUUACCCCCUUCGGUGCCGCAGCUAACGCAUUAAGUACUCCGCCUGGGAAGUACGCUCGCAAGAGGGAAACUCAAAGGAAUUGACGGGGACCCGAACAAGUAGCGGAGCAUGUGGUUUAAUUCGAAGCAACGCGAAGAACCUUACCUAAGCUUGACAUCCCAAUGACAUCUCCUUAAUCGGAGAGUUCCCUUCGGGGACAUUGGUGACAGGUGGUGCAUGGUUGUCGUCAGCUCGUGUCGUGAGAUGUUGGGUUAAGUCCCGCAACGAGCGCAACCCUUGUCUUUAGUUGCCAUCAUUAAGUUGGGCACUCUAGAGAGACUGCCAGGGAUAACCUGGAGGAAGGUGGGGAUGACGUCAAAUCAUCAUGCCCCUUAUGCUUAGGGCUACACACGUGCUACAAUGGGUAGUACAGAGGGUUGCCAAGCCGUAAGGUGGAGCUAAUCCCUUAAAGCUACUCUCAGUUCGGAUUGUAGGCUGAAACUCGCCUACAUGAAGCUGGAGUUACUAGUAAUCGCAGAUCAGAAUGCUGCGGUGAAUGCGUUCCCGGGUCUUGUACACACCGCCCGUCACACCACGGGAGUUGGAGACGCCCGAAGCCGAUUAUCUAACCUUUUGGAAGAAGUCGUCGAAGGUGGAAUCAAUAACUGGGGUGAAGUCGUAACAAGGUAGCCGUAUCGGAAGGUGCGGCUGGAUCACCUCCUUUCUAAGGA
Molecule: ribosomal RNA, 829 nt
Filed under: Clostridioides difficile
Lineage: Bacteria; Bacillati; Bacillota; Clostridia; Peptostreptococcales; Peptostreptococcaceae
Description: bacterial SSU rRNA
Rfam family: Bacterial small subunit ribosomal RNA
Source: RNAcentral